RNAcentral lists this small RNA (280 nucleotides) under Theobroma cacao (cacao). Its description in RNAcentral is "sRNA Tc02v2_g018130". The record is from RNAcentral. Lineage: Eukaryota; Viridiplantae; Streptophyta; Magnoliopsida; Malvales; Malvaceae.
AUUGGAUUUCAAGGAAUUAAGCAAGUAAAUGUGGUGAAACUUCUGAUAAGGGUAAGGAGAUUGUACUUGAAGACCAAGACUAGGAGUACUUCGACUCCCGAUAUUGAUUAGGACAGUCCGUAAAUAGCUGAUUUCGUCGAGGGUUAUUAUUGGACUCACCUCAUCAGAACUUGUAGGUCCACAGCCUUUGUUACCUUUAGUCAUUUAGGGGCCCACACGUCAUUGUAAAUUAAAUUACAUACUCUGGUUAUCUGUGUUACUGUAUGUAUAGAUUUAUUUU